GUACACUCCUGCGGGAGGCAGCAGUGAGGAAUAUUGGACAAUGGGUGGAAGCCUGAUCCAGCCAUCCCGCGUGCAGGAAGACGGCCCUAUGGGUUGUAAACUGCUUUUAUCUGGGGAUAAACCUACUUACGCGUAAGUAGCUGAAGGUACCAGAAGAAUAAGCACCGGCUAACUCCGUGCCAGCAGCCGCGGUAAUACGGAGGGUGCAAGCGUUAUCCGGAUUUAUUGGGUUUAAAGGGUCCGUAGGCGGACUGAUAAGUCAGUGGUGAAAUCCGACAGCUUAACUGUCGAACUGCCAUUGAUACUGUUAGUCUUGAGUAAGGUUGAAGUGGCUGGAAUAAGUAGUGUAGCGGUGAAAUGCAUAGAUAUUACUUAGAACACCAAUUGCGAAGGCAGGUCACUAAGUCUUAACUGACGCUGAUGGACGAAAGCGUGGGGAGCGAACAGGAUUAGAAACCCGAGUAGUCCC
RNAcentral lists this ribosomal RNA (469 nucleotides) under uncultured organism. Its description in RNAcentral is "partial 16S ribosomal RNA". It matches the Rfam family "Bacterial small subunit ribosomal RNA", at positions 331 to 797 of the family's 1533-position model. The record is from RNAcentral.